RNAcentral lists this transfer RNA (30 nucleotides) under Canis lupus (wolf). RNAcentral describes it as "partial tRNA-Lys". Lineage: Eukaryota; Metazoa; Chordata; Mammalia; Carnivora; Canidae. The record is from RNAcentral.
CAUUAAGAAGCUAUAAAGCAUUAACCUUUU